Oncorhynchus kisutch (coho salmon) is the source of this 3522-nucleotide long non-coding RNA. The record is from Ensembl. NCBI's taxonomy places the organism in Eukaryota, Metazoa, Chordata, Actinopteri, Salmoniformes, Salmonidae.
AUGAUUCACUACACUCUACUACACUACACUGCACUGUACUACACUACACUACUCUCUACACUCUACACUGUACUACACUACACUACUCUACACACUACACUGCACUGUACUACUCUACACUGCACUACUCUACACUGCACUACUCUACACUGCACUGUACUACUCUACACUGUACUACUCUACACUGUACUACACUACUCUACACUGUACUACACUACUCUACACUGUACUACACUACUCUACACUGCACUACACUACACUGUACUACUCUACACUGUACUACUCUACACUGCACUGUACUACUCUACACUGUACUACACUACUCUACACUCUACACUGUACUACUCUACACUCUACACUGUACACUCUACACUCUACACUGUACUACACUACACUCUACACUGUACACUCUACACUGCACUGUACUACUCUACACUCUACACUGUACCACUCUACACUGUACUACUCUACACUCUACACUGUACUACUCUACACUCUACACUGUACUACACUACACUACUCUACACACUACACUGCACUGUACUACUCUACACUGCACUACUCUACACUGCACUACUCUACACUGCACUGUACUACUCUACACUGUACUACUCUACACUGUACUACACUACUCUACACUGUACUACACUACUCUACACUGUACUACACUACACUGUACUACUCUACACUGUACUACUCUACACUGCACUGUACUACUCUACACUGUACUACACUACUCUACACUCUACACUGUACUACUCUACACUCUACACUGUACACUCUACACUCUACACUGUACUACACUACACUCUACACUGUACACUCUACACUGCACUGUACUACUCUACACUCUACACUGUACCACUCUACACUGUACUACUCUACACUCUACACUGUACUACUCUACACUCUACACUGUACUACUCUACACUCUACUGCACUACACUGUACUACUCUACACUAUACUGCACUACACUGUACUACUCUACACUCUACACUCUACUGCACUACACUGUACUACUCUACACUCUACACUACACUGCACUACUCUACACUCUACACUGUACUACUCUACACUCUACUGUACUACACUGUACUACUCUACACUCUACACUGCACUGUACUACUCUACACUACACUGCACUACUCUACACUCUACACUACACUACACUCUACACUACACUGUACUACUCUACACUCUACACUACACUGUACUACACUACUCUACACUACACUGUACUACUCUACACUCCACUGUACUACUCUACACUCUACACUACACUGUACUACUCUACACUCUACACUACACUGUACUACUCUACACUCUACACUACACUGUACUACUCUACACUACACUGUACUACUCUACACUCUACACUCCACUGUACUACUCUACACUCCACUGUACUACUCUACACUCCACUGUACUACUCUACACUCUACACUGUACUACACUACACUCUACACUACACUGUACUACUCUACACUACACUGUACUACUCUACACUACACUACUCUACACUCUACACUGCACUGUACUACUCUACACUGCACUACUCUACACUCUACACUACACUGUACUACUCUACACUCUACACUACACUGUACUACUCUACACUCUACACUACACUGUACUACUCUACACUGUACUACUCUACACUCUACACUACACUGUACUACUCUACACUCUACACUGUACUACACUACACUGUACUACUCUACACUCUACACUACACUGUACUACUCUACACUGUACUACUCUACACUCUACACUACACUGUACUACUCUACACUCCACUGUACUACUCUACACUCUACACUACACUGUACUACUCUACACUACACUGUACUACUCUACACUCCACUGUACUACUCUACACUCCACUGUACUACUCUACACUCUACACUCCACUGUACUACUCUACACUCUACACUCCACUGUACUACUCUACACUACACUGUACUACUCUACACUCUACACUACACUGUACUACUCUACACUCUACACUACACUACUCUACACUCCACUGUACUACUCUACACUCUACACUGUACUACUCUACACUCCACUGUACUACUCUACACUCCACUGUACUACUCUACACUCUACACUGUACUACACUACACUCUACACUACACUGUACUACUCUACACUACACUGUACUACUCUACACUCUACACUACACUGUACUACUCUACACUCUACACUACACUGUACUACUCUACACUCUACACUACACUGUACUACUCUACACUCUACACUACACUGUACUACUCUACACUCUACACUACACUGUACUACUCUACACUCUACACUACACUGUACUACUCUACACUCUACACUGUACUACACUACACUGUACUACUCUACACUCUACACUACACUGUACUACUCUACACUCUACUACUCUACACUCUACACUACACUGUACUACUCUACACUCUACACUGUACUACACUACACUACACUGUACUACACUACACUACACUGUACUACACUACACUACACUACACUGUACUACUCUACACUCUACACUACACUGUACUACUCUACACUCUACACUACUCUACACUCUACACUACACUGUACUACACUACACUCUACACUACACUGUACUACUCUACACUGUACUACUCUACACUCUACACUGUACUACACUACACUGUACUACUCUACACUCUACUACUCUACACUGUACUACACUACACUACUCUACACUCUACACUGUACUACACUACACUGUACUACUCUACACUCUACUACUCUACACUGUACUACACUACACUACACACUACACUGUACUACUCUACACUCUACACUACACUGUACUACUCUACACUGUACUACACUACACUACACUACACUACUCUACACUCUACACUGUACUACUCUACACUCUACACUGUACUACUCUACACUGUACUACUCUACACUGUACUACUCUACACUGUACUACACUGUACUACUCUACUACUCUACACUGUACUACUCUACACUGUACUACUCUACACUGUACUACUCUACACUGUACUACUCUACACUGUACUACUCUACACUGUACUACUCUACACUGUACUACUCUACACUGUACUACUCUACACUGUACUACUCUACACUGUACUACACUACACUACUCUACACUGUACUACACUACACUACACUGUACUACUCUACACUCUACUACUCUACACUCUACACUCUACUACUCUACACUGUACUACUCUACACUGUACUACACUAAACUACUCUACACUGUACUACAUUACACUGUACUACACUGUACUACAUUACACUGUACUACUCUACACUACACUACACUGUACUACACUACACUGUACUACACUACACUACACUACACUGUACUACACUACACUACACUGUACUACACUACACUACACUACACUGUACUACACUACACUACACUGUACUACAUUACACUGUACUACAUUACACUGUACUACUCUACACUACACUACACUGUACUACACUACACUACACUACACUGUACUACACUACACUAA